Molecule: ribosomal RNA, 442 nt
Filed under: uncultured bacterium
Lineage: Bacteria
Description: bacterial SSU rRNA
Rfam family: Bacterial small subunit ribosomal RNA
Source: RNAcentral
AACGCGAAGAACCUUACCUACUCUUGACAUCCUGCGAAUCUGGUUGAGAGACCGGAGUGCCGAAAGGAACGCAGAGACAGGUGCUGCAUGGCUGUCGUCAGCUCGUGUUGUGAGAUGUUGGGUUAAGUCCCGUAACGAGCGCAACCCCUGUCCUUAGUUGCCAGCGAGUAAAGUCGGGGACUCUAAGGAGACCGCCGGUGACAAACCGGAGGAAGGUGGGGAUGACGUCAAGUCAUCAUGGCCUUUAUGGCCAGGGCUACACACGUGCUACAAUGGCAGGUACAGAGGGAAGCCAACGCGCGAGCGGGAGCCAAUCCCAGAAAGCCUGUCGUAGUCCGGAUCGGAGUCUGCAACUCGACUCCGUGAAGUCGGAAUCGCUAGUAAUCGCAGAUCAGCAUUGCUGCGGUGAAUACGUUCCCGGGCCUUGUACACACCGGUACUA